Molecule: ribosomal RNA, 433 nt
Filed under: uncultured bacterium
Lineage: Bacteria
Description: partial 16S ribosomal RNA
Rfam family: Bacterial small subunit ribosomal RNA
Source: RNAcentral
AACGAACGCUGGCGGCAUGCCUAACACAUGCAAGUCGAACGAGACCUUCGGGUCUAGUGGCGCACGGGUGCGUAACGCGUGGGAACCUGCCCUUAGGUUCGGAAUAACUCCCCGAAAGGGGUGCUAAUACCGGAUAAUGUCUUCGGACCAAAGAUUUAUCGCCUUUGGAUGGGCCCGCGUUGGAUUAGCUAGUUGGUAGGGUAAAAGCCUACCAAGGCGACGAUCCAUAGCUGGUCUGAGAGGAUGAUCAGCCACACUGGGACUGAGACACGGCCCAGACUCCUACGGGAGGAAGCAGUGGGGAAUAUUGGACAAGGGGCGAAAGCCUGAUCAAGCAAUGCCGCGUGAGUGAUGAAGGCCUUAGGGUUGUAAAGCUCUUUUACCCGGGAUGAUAAUGACAGUACCGGGAGAAUAAGCUCCGGCUAACUCCGUG